AUUGAACGCUGGCGGCAGGCCUAACACAUGCAAGUCGAACGGUAACAGGAAACAGCUUGCUGUUUCGCUGACGAGUGGCGGACGGGUGAGUAAUGUCUGGGAAACUGCCUGAUGGAGGGGGAUAACUACUGGAAACGGUAGCUAAUACCGCAUAACGUCGCAAGACCAAAGAGGGGGACCCUCGGGCCUCUUGCCAUCGGAUGUGCCCAGAUGGGAUUAGCUUGUUGGUGGGGUAACGGCUCACCAAGGCGACGAUCCCUAUCUGGUCUGAGAGGAGGACCACCCACACUGGAACGGAGACGCGGUCCAGACUCCUACGGGAGGCAGCAGUGUGGAAUAUUGCACAAUGGGCGCAAGCCUGAUGCAGCCAUGCCGCGUGUAUGAAGAAGGCCUUCGGGUUGUAAAGUACUUUCAGCGGGGAGGAAGGGAGUAAAGUUAAUACCUUUGCUCAUUGACGUUACCCGCAGAAGAAGCACCGGCUAACUCCGUG
This 490-nucleotide ribosomal RNA is filed under the name uncultured bacterium. RNAcentral describes it as "partial 16S ribosomal RNA". It matches the Rfam family "Bacterial small subunit ribosomal RNA", at positions 30 to 507 of the family's 1533-position model. The record is from RNAcentral.